Molecule: non-coding RNA, 384 nt
Organism: Xyrichtys novacula (pearly razorfish)
Lineage: Eukaryota; Metazoa; Chordata; Actinopteri; Labriformes; Labridae
Source: the annotation of a GenBank genome assembly
AUACAGUACAGGCCAAAAGUUUGGACACACCUUCUCAUUCAAUGUCUUUUCUUUAUUUUUUUCUAUGACUAUUUACAUUGUAGAUUAUCACUGAAGGCCUCAAAACUAUGAAUGAACAUGUGGAAUUUUGUACUUAUAAAAAAAAGUGUAAAAUAACUGAAAACAUGUUUUAUAUUCUAGUUUCUUUAAAAUAGCCACCCUUUGCUCUUGAUGACAGAAGUAACCCUGACAAGGCACACCUGUGAAGUAAAAACCAUUUCAGGUGACUACCUCAUGAUGCUCAUUGAGAGAACAGCAAAAGUUUGCAGUGCUAUCAAAAAAGCAAAGGGUGGCUACUUUGAGGAAUCUAAAAUGUAAAACAUGUUUUCAAUUAUUUCACACUUU